UAACCUACCUUGUUCAGGGGGAUAGCCUCUCGAAAGAGAGAUUAAGACCGCAUAACAUUGCAAUGUGGCAUCACAACGCAAUCAAAUAUUUAUAGGAACAAGAUGGGCAUGCGGAACAUUAGCUAGUUGGUGAGGUAACUGCUCACCAAGGCUACGAUGUUUAGGGGAUCUGAGAGGAUGACCCCCCACACUGGUACUGAGACACGGACCAG
Molecule: ribosomal RNA, 212 nt
Filed under: uncultured bacterium
Lineage: Bacteria
Description: partial 16S ribosomal RNA
Rfam family: Bacterial small subunit ribosomal RNA
Source: RNAcentral